GGGGAGGCAUAUACUGCAGUCGAGCGAGCUUGCCUAGAUGAUUUUAGUGCUUGCACUAAAUGAAACUAGAUACAAGCGAGCGGCGGACGGGUGAGUAACACGUGGGUAACCUGCCCAAGAGACUGGGAUAACACCUGGAAACAGAUGCUAAUACCGGAUAACAACACUAGACGCAUGUCUAGAGUUUGAAAGAUGGUUCUGCUAUCACUCUUGGAUGGACCUGCGGUGCAUUAGCUAGUUGGUAAGGUAACGGCUUACCAAGGCAAUGAUGCAUAGCCGAGUUGAGAGACUGAUCGGCCACAUUGGGACUGAGACACGGCCCAAACUCCUACGGGAGGCAGCAGUAGGGAAUCUUCCACAAUGGACGAAAGUCUGAUGGAGCAACGCCGCGUGAGUGAAGAAGGGUUUCGGCUCGUAAAGCUCUGUUGGUAGUGAAGAAAGAUAGAGGUAGUAACUGGCCUUUAUUUGACGGUAAUUACUUAGAAAGUCACGGCUAACUACGUGCCAGCAGCCGCGGUAAUACGUAGGUGGCAAGCGUUGUCCGGAUUUAUUGGGCGUAAAGCGAGUGCAGGCGGUUCAAUAAGUCUGAUGUGAAAGCCUUCGGCUCAACCGGAGAAUUGCAUCAGAAACUGUUGAACUUGAGUGCAGAAGAGGAGAGUGGAACUCCAUGUGUAGCGGUGGAAUGCGUAGAUAUAUGGAAGAACACCAGUGGCGAAGGCGGCUCUCUGGUCUGCAACUGACGCUGAGGCUCGAAAGCAUGGGUAGCGAACAGGAUUAGAUACCCUGGUAGUCCAUGCCGU
RNAcentral lists this ribosomal RNA (800 nucleotides) under uncultured bacterium. Its description in RNAcentral is "bacterial SSU rRNA". It matches the Rfam family "Bacterial small subunit ribosomal RNA", at positions 41 to 803 of the family's 1533-position model. The record is from RNAcentral.